This 253-nucleotide ribosomal RNA is filed under the name uncultured bacterium. RNAcentral describes it as "partial 16S ribosomal RNA". It matches the Rfam family "Bacterial small subunit ribosomal RNA", at positions 526 to 779 of the family's 1533-position model. The record is from RNAcentral.
CAGAGACCUCAAGCGUUAUCCGGAUUUAUUGGGCGUAAAGCGUGUGUAGGCGGAUUAAUUAGUCAGAUGUUAAAUCUCGGGGCUCAACCCCGAACUCGCAUUUGAAACGGUUAGUCUAGAGUAUGUGAGAGAUCAGUGGAAUUUAUGGUGUAGUAGUGAAAUGCGUUGAUAUCAUAAGGAACACCCAAGGCGAAGGCAACUGAUUGGCACAUUACUGACGCUGAGACACGAAAGCGUGGGAGCGAAUAGGAUU